RNAcentral lists this ribosomal RNA (494 nucleotides) under uncultured bacterium. RNAcentral's name for it is "partial 16S ribosomal RNA". It matches the Rfam family "Bacterial small subunit ribosomal RNA", at positions 28 to 507 of the family's 1533-position model. The record is from RNAcentral.
GACGAACGCUGGCGGCGUGCUUAACACAUGCAAGUCGAACGGAAAGGCCUGCUUUCCCUUGUGGAUUGCGGGUACUCGAGUGGCGAACGGGUGAGUAACACGUGAGUGAUCUGCCCCCAACUUGGGUAUAAGCCUGGGAAACUGGGUCUAAUUCCCGAUAGGACUGCAGGGUGGUGCCUGUGGUGGAAAACGAUUUUCUAGUGGUUGGGGAUGAGCUCGCGGCCUAUCAGCUUGUUGGUGGGGUAAUGGCCUACCAAGGCGGCGACGGGUAGCCGGCCUGAGAGGGUGGACGGCGACAUUGAGACUGAGAUACGGCCCAGACUCCUACGGGAGGCAGCAGUGGGGAAGAUUGCACAAUGGGCGGAAGCCUGAUGCAGCGACGCCGCGUGGAGGAUGACGGCCUUCGGGUUGUAAGCUCCUUUCGACCGCGAGGAAGCCACCUGGUUGGAAGGGUGGUGACGGUAGUGGUAGAAGAAGCACCGGCUAACUACGUG